UGGCCUUUAAGACCCUUAUCCUAGCUGCCUGGAAGUCAGUAUUCUGCUAGCAGCCUUCAGAUGAAGAUGUAGAACUCUCAGAGUUCCUCCUGCACCAUGCCUGCCUGGAUGCUGCCAUGCUCCCACCUUGAUGAUAAAGGACUGAACCUGUGAACUGAAUCUAUUAGCCAUCUGGAGUCUUGUUGUGCUCAGUGUUGGAAAGCUAUAAGGCCCAGAGUCGGGAGCUAAUUUGCAUUGAUUAGAAUAGUUCCUCAGAGAAGCUUGAUGCUAUUUUGAAGAUAUUGAAUGGAAAUUAUUUUUGCCUUGAAGUCUUAUUGGGGAGACAUCGGUAAAGAACUCUCGGAAGUCACAUGCCAUGGAUGGAGCCACCAAAUUCUGUGAUUCCGAGAUUCUUCAGGCUUUCUUGGAGGAGACCAACCAAACAACAGAUUGGUACAUCUCUCGGCCUAUAUCAGAGUAGUGUCUAUUCGCAGUAGACGAUCACCACAGAGACUCAUGACUAGCCAUGGUGCAGAAUAAGAGCCUACGGAAUACUCAGCCUUAAGUGGAGCCUCUAAUCUUCUCCCUCUCCUUCCAAGCCUCAGUGAUCAUUGGAAGAGGGAGGGACCUGAGAGACCGGGAGACAGAGGUGGUGAAUGGAGGCAAGGAAUCAGAAUCCUCCGGACACAGCAGAGAAGCUGCACAUAUGAACUCGUAGCAGUUAUGACAAGUCCCAUGAAAGCUGAAGCCACAUC
Long non-coding RNA from Rattus norvegicus (Norway rat), 734 nucleotides. RefSeq lists it as uncharacterized. NCBI's taxonomy places the organism in Eukaryota, Metazoa, Chordata, Mammalia, Rodentia, Muridae. The record is from RefSeq and is a predicted model, not a curated record.